This 900-nucleotide ribosomal RNA is filed under the name uncultured archaeon. RNAcentral's name for it is "bacterial SSU rRNA". It matches the Rfam family "Archaeal small subunit ribosomal RNA", at positions 8 to 888 of the family's 1478-position model. The record is from RNAcentral.
UUGAUCCCGCCGGACCUCACUGCUAUCGAGGUGGGACUAAGCCAUGCUAGUCGAACGACCAGAACCAUGUCUGGUAGUGGCGUACUGCUCAGUAACACGUUGCUAACCUACCCUUAGGACAGGGGCACCCCCGAGAAAUUGGGGCUAAUCCCUGAUAGGUGUGGUGUCCUGGAACGGUAUCACGCCUAAAGGUCCCAACAGCAUGUUGUUGUUACGCCUAAGGAUGGGGCUGCGGCCGAUCAGGCAGUUGGUGAGGUAAUGGCUCACCAAACCUUUGACCGGUACGGGCCAUGAAAGUGGUAGCCCGGAGAUGGAUACUGAGACAAGGAUCCAGGCCCUACGGGGCGCAGCAGGCGCGAAACCUCCUCAAUGCACUGAAGUGUGAAGGGGUUACCUCGAGUGCCGUCUGAAGAAGGCGGCUUUUCCUUGGUCUAAAAAGCCUUGGGAAUAAGAGGGGGGCAAGACUGGUGUCAGCCGCCGCGGUAACACCAGCCCCUCGAGUGGUGGGGAUGAUUAUUUGGCCUAAAGCGUCCGUAGCCGGCCGAGUAAGUUUCCCGUUAAAUCCAGCGUCUCAAGCGUUGGGCUGCGGGAAAUACUGCCCGGCUAGAGAGUGGGAGAGGAAAGCGGUAUUCUGGGGGUAGGGGCGAAAUCCUUUGAUCCCCGGAGGACCACCAGUGGCGAAGGCUGCUUUCUAGAACACGUCUGACGGUCAGGGACGAAAGCUGGGGUAGCGAACCGGAUUAGAUACCCGGGUAGUCCCAGCUGUAAACGAUGCACGCUAGGUGUUGGGUCGGCCACGCGCCGCCCCAGUGCCGCAGGGAAGCCGUUAAGCGUGCCGCCUGGGGAGUACGGCCGCAAGGCUGAAACUUAAAGGAAUUGGCGGGGGAGCACCACCAGGCG